RNAcentral lists this ribosomal RNA (253 nucleotides) under uncultured bacterium. RNAcentral describes it as "partial 16S ribosomal RNA". It matches the Rfam family "Bacterial small subunit ribosomal RNA", at positions 524 to 776 of the family's 1533-position model. The record is from RNAcentral.
UACGUAGGGUGCAAGCGUUGUCCGGAAUUAUUGGGCGUAAAGAGCUCGUAGGCGGUCUGUCGCGUCUGCUGUGAAAACCUGGGGCUUAACCCCGGGCCUGCAGUGGGUACGGGCAGACUAGAGUGUGGUAGGGGAGACUGGAAUUCCUGGUGUAGCGGUGAAAUGCGCAGAUAUCGGGAGGAACACCGGUGGCGAAGGCGGGUCUCUGGGCCAUAACUGACGCUGAGGAGCGAAAGCGUGGGGAGCGAACAGG